AGAGUUUGAUCAUGGCUCAGAGUGAACGCUGGCGGCGUGCUUAACACAUGCAAGUCGAACGAGAACGGGUAUCAGCUUGCUAAUACUGUCAGCUAAGUGGCGCACGGGUGAGUAAUAUAUAGGUAACGUGCCUUCGAGAAGGGGAUAACAAUUGGAAACGAUUGCUAAUACCCUAUAUGCCUUUAAGUCCUAAGACUGCAAGGGAAAUAUUUAUAGCUCGAAGAUCGGCCUGUACAGUAUCAGUUAGUUGGUGAGGUAAUGGCUCACCAAGACAAUGACGCUUAACUGGUUUGAGAGGAUGAUCAGUCACACUGGAACUGAGACACGGUCCAGACUCCUACGGGAGGCAGCAGUGGGGAAUAUUGCACAAUGGAGGAAACUCUGAUGCAGCAACGCCGCGUGGAGGAUGACACAUUUCGGUGCGUAAACUCCUUUUAUAUAGGAAGAUAAUGACGGUACUAUAUGAAUAAGCACCGGCUAACUCCGUGCCAGCAGCCGCGGUAAUACGGAGGGUGCAAGCGUUACUCGGAAUCACUGGGCGUAAAGAGCGUGUAGGCGGAUAGUUAAGUUUGAAGUGAAAUCCUAUGGCUCAACCAUAGAACUGCUUUGAAAACUGAUUAUCUAGAAUAUGGGAGAGGUAGAUGGAAUUUCUGGUGUAGGGGUAAAAUCCGUAGAGAUCAGAAGGAAUACCGAUUGCGAAGGCGAUCUACUGGAACAUUAUUGACGCUGAGACGCGAAAGCGUGGGGAGCAAACAGGAUUAGAUACCCUGGUAGUCCACGCCCUAAACGAUGUACACUAGUUGUUGUGAGGCUAGACCUUGCAGUAAUGCAGUUAACACAUUAAGUGUACCGCCUGGGGAGUACGGUCGCAAGAUUAAAACUCAAAGGAAUAGACGGGGACCCGCACAAGCGGUGGAGCAUGUGGUUUAAUUCGACGAUACGCGAAGAACCUUACCUGGACUUGACAUAGUAAGAACUUUCUAGAGAUAGAUUGGUGUCUGCUUGCAGAAACUUAUAUACAGGUGCUGCACGGCUGUCGUCAGCUCGUGUCGUGAGAUGUUGGG
Molecule: ribosomal RNA, 1064 nt
Filed under: uncultured bacterium
Lineage: Bacteria
Description: bacterial SSU rRNA
Rfam family: Bacterial small subunit ribosomal RNA
Source: RNAcentral